Molecule: ribosomal RNA, 1344 nt
Filed under: uncultured bacterium
Lineage: Bacteria
Description: bacterial SSU rRNA
Rfam family: Bacterial small subunit ribosomal RNA
Source: RNAcentral
GGGUGAACGCUGGCGGCGUGCUUGACACAUGCAAGUCGAACGGUAUGUGGCAACACAUAGAGUGGCGAACGGGUGAGUAACACGUGGGAACGUACCAUCUGCAGGGGGAUAACUGACCGAAAGGACAGCUAAUACCGCAUAAGUCCGGAAGGAGAAAGGUGCAAUAGCAUCGGCAGAAGAGCGGCCCGCGGUCCAUCAGCUAGUUGGUGAGGUAAGGGCUUACCAAGGCGACGACGGAUAGCCGGCGUGAGAGCGUGGCCGGCCACAAGGACACUGAGAUACGGGUCCUACUCCUACGGGAGGCAGCAGUGCGGAAUUUUAGAUAAUGGAGGGAACUCUGAUCUAGCGACGCCGCGUGCAGGAAGAAGGUCUUCGGAUUGUAAACUGCUGUGGUAAGGGAAAAAUGCUAUGUAGAGUGGAAAGCUACAUAGAGGGAUGGUACCUUACUAGAAAGCCCCGGCUAACUACGUGCCAGCAGCCGCGGUAAUACGUAGGGGGCGAGCGUUACCCGGAAUCACUGGGCGUAAAGGGAGCGUAGGUGGCCUAACAUGUCAACUGUGAAAACCCGGAGCUCAACUCCGGACUUGCAGUUGAAACUGGUAGGCUUGAGGACGGUAGAGGAAGACGGAACUGCCAGUGUAGGGGUAAAAUCCUUAGAUAUUGGCAGGAACGCCGGUGACGAAGGUGGUUUUCUGGGCCGGUUCUGACACUGAUGCUCGAAAGCCAGGGGAGCGAACGGGAUUAGAUACCCCGGUAGUCCUGGCCCUAAACGAUGUUCACUAGGUGUGGGGAGCGGAAAGCCCUCCGUGCUAAAGCUAACGCGAUAAGUGAACCGCCUGGGGAGUACGCCCGCAAGGUUGAAACUCAAAGGAAUUGACGGGGGUCCGCACAAGCGGUGGAGCAUGUGGUUUAAUUCGAUGAUACGCGAGGAACCUUACCAGGGCUCGAACGCAGGAGGAAUACUCCCGAAAGGAAGUAGCCAGAAAUGGCCGCCUGCGAGGUGCUGCAUGGUUGUCGUCAGCUCGUGCCGUGAGGUGUCAGGUUAAGUCCUAUAACGAGCGCAACCCCUAUUCAUAGUUGCCAGCAUAUUACGGUGGGGACUCUAAAGGAACUGCCUACGCAAGUAGUGAGGAAGGCGGGGAUGACGUCAAAUCAGCACGGCCCUUACGUCCAGGGCUACACACGUGCUACAAUGGCCGAUACAGAGGGCAGCUACCUGGUGACAGGAUGCAAAUCUCCAAAGUCGGUCUCAGUUCGGAUCGGAGUCUGCAACCCGACUCCGUGAAGUUGGAUUCGCUAGUAAUCGCGCAUCAGCCAUGGCGCGGUGAAUACGUUCCCGGGCCU